UACGGGAGGCAGCAGCUAAGAAUAUUCCGCAAUGGGGGGAACCCUGACGGAGCGACGCCGCGUGAACGAUGAAGGCAGAGAUGUUGUAAAGUUCUUUUAUCGCUGAAGAAUAACCGGAUCAGGGAAUGGGUCCGGGAUGACGUUAAGCGAUGAAUAAGCCACGGCUAACUACGUGCCAGCAGCCGCGGUAAU
This 192-nucleotide ribosomal RNA is filed under the name uncultured rumen bacterium. Its description in RNAcentral is "partial 16S ribosomal RNA". It matches the Rfam family "Bacterial small subunit ribosomal RNA", at positions 340 to 524 of the family's 1533-position model. The record is from RNAcentral.